This 253-nucleotide ribosomal RNA is filed under the name uncultured bacterium. RNAcentral describes it as "partial 16S ribosomal RNA". It matches the Rfam family "Bacterial small subunit ribosomal RNA", at positions 524 to 776 of the family's 1533-position model. The record is from RNAcentral.
UACGGGGGGGGCAAGCGUUGUUCGGAAUUACUGGGCGUAAAGGGCUCGUAGGCGGCCAACUAAGUCCGACGUGAAAUCCCCAGGCUUAACCUGGGAACUGCGUCGGAUACUGGUUGGCUUGAAUCCGGGAGAGGGAUGCGGAAUUCCAGGUGUAGCGGUGAAAUGCGUAGAUAUCCGGAGGAACACCGGUGGCGAAGGCGGCUUCCUGGACCGACACUGACGCUGAGGCGCGAAAGCUAGGGGAGCAAACGGG